GAGGGUAGAGCUCAGAGGUAGAGCGCAUGCUCAGCAUGCACAAGGUCCUGGGUUCAAUCCCCAGUACCUCCA
This 72-nucleotide transfer RNA is filed under the name Camelus bactrianus (Bactrian camel). It matches the Rfam family "tRNA". From Rfam's summary of the family: Transfer RNA (tRNA) molecules are approximately 80 nucleotides in length. Their secondary structure includes four short double-helical elements and three loops (D, anti-codon, and T loops). RNAcentral also lists the same sequence under 2 other names. Lineage: Eukaryota; Metazoa; Chordata; Mammalia; Artiodactyla; Camelidae. The record is from Rfam by way of RNAcentral.